GUUAUUUCAAGAUUCCUUUGCUUUUGGGAGGGGAACAACAAUUGGAAACGACUGCUAAUACUCCGUAGGUUGAGGAGCAAAAGGAGAAAUCCGCCCGAGGAGGGGCUCGCAUCUGAUUAGUUAGUUGGUGAGACAAUAGCUUACUAAGACGAUGAUCAAUAACUGAUCCGAAAGGAUGAUCAGCCACACUGGGACUGGGACUGAGACACGGCCCAGACUCCUAUGGGGG
This 229-nucleotide non-coding RNA is filed under the name Nicotiana sylvestris (wood tobacco). Its description in RNAcentral is "Bacterial small subunit ribosomal RNA". It matches the Rfam family "Bacterial small subunit ribosomal RNA", at positions 110 to 347 of the family's 1533-position model. Lineage: Eukaryota; Viridiplantae; Streptophyta; Magnoliopsida; Solanales; Solanaceae. The record is from Rfam by way of RNAcentral.